Molecule: small RNA, 28 nt
Filed under: Bombyx mori (domestic silkworm)
Lineage: Eukaryota; Metazoa; Arthropoda; Insecta; Lepidoptera; Bombycidae
Description: ovarian small RNA-34062
Source: RNAcentral
UGCUAAGAGAGAAGAUAUUGUUGGCGGA